GAUGAAGAACGCAGCGAAAUGCGAUAAGUAAUGUGAAUUGCAGAAUUCAGUGAAUCAUCGAAUCUUUGAACGCACAUUGCGCCCGCCAGUAUUCUGGCGGGCAUGCCUGUUCGAGCGUCAUUUCAACCCUCAAGCUCAGCUUGGUGUUGGGACUCGCGGUAACCCGCGUUCCCCAAAUCGAUUGGCGGUCACGUCGAGCUUCCAUAGCGUAGUAAUCAUACACCUCGUUACUGGUAAUCGUCGCGGCCACGCCGUAAAACCCCAACUUCUGAAUGUUGACCUCGGAUCAGGUAGGAAUACCCGCUGAACUUAAGCAUAUCAAUAAGCGGAGGA
RNAcentral lists this unclassified non-coding RNA (333 nucleotides) under soil metagenome. Its description in RNAcentral is "partial contains 5.8S ribosomal RNA, internal transcribed spacer 2, and large subunit ribosomal RNA". The stretch from base 1 to 120 matches the Rfam family "5.8S ribosomal RNA", at positions 35 to 154 of the family's 154-position model. The record is from RNAcentral.